RNAcentral lists this long non-coding RNA (730 nucleotides) under Macaca mulatta (Rhesus monkey). RNAcentral describes it as "lncRNA (ENSMMUG00000052141.1)". Lineage: Eukaryota; Metazoa; Chordata; Mammalia; Primates; Cercopithecidae. The record is from RNAcentral.
CUUCUGGCAAAAGAUAGCUUUAUAUUUUGAUGUUACUUUCCUUAUUUACUUUGCAGAAUUGUUAGGAGAAGCAACAAUUAUUAUGGAUCAUAAAAUACUUUUACAGUUGAACCGUGUUUCACUCCAUUGUCAGAUGAGUGAAUAGAAUAAAGGGAAAUAUAAAUUGCUUGUUGGUGGUUGAUGGUGAAAAUAAGACAGUGGUGCUUCUAGAAAAGCUGCAACAGAUGAAACGAAAACAAGAGUAUUCCAAGAUUUUUGUGUAUAAACACUGACUCUGAAAUGGAAAAAAAAAAAAAAAUCACUAAAAUGCUGCAUUCUAUAGGACAACUAAAAAAGAAUCAUUCCUAAAUAUCUUCAUCUCUGAUCUACUUUGCAGUGAAUAUUUGCCUUGCAGUUUUGUUUUAGAAAUAAGUCAUGCCUCUAAGUGUUUGUAAGACAAUGGACAAGCAGAUGGCACUGUUUCCAGCAUAUCUUAGCCAAGAUUCUACUCUGAAAAUGCAGGCAGUUCUUGUUCAACAGCCCUGAAAAAGACAUGGUACGGUUCAUCUCACUUGAUUUCAUAUCAGCUAUGCUUUUCUGACUUACAAGAACUUUGCAAUAGGAAGUUUUUUUAAUCAUUUCUGGUAAUGGCUGCCAUCAAGUUUCAAUGUUACAUCAGGUUUUAAAAAAUCUUUUAUUUUUUAAUUUUUGUGGGUACACAGUAGGUGUAUAUGUUUAUGGGGUAUACAGA